This 203-nucleotide ribosomal RNA is filed under the name uncultured bacterium. Its description in RNAcentral is "partial 16S ribosomal RNA". It matches the Rfam family "Bacterial small subunit ribosomal RNA", at positions 1299 to 1500 of the family's 1533-position model. The record is from RNAcentral.
CGCAGCCUGCAACCCGGCUGCGUGAAGCUGGAAUCGCUAGUAAUCGCGGAUCAGAAUGCCGCGGUGAAUACGUUCCCGGGUCUUGUACACACCGCCCGUCACACCAUGGGAGCCGGAAACGCCCGAAGCCAGCGGCCCAACCGCGAGGAGGGAGCUGUCGAAGGCGGGUCCGGUGACCCGGGGUGAAGUCGUAACAAGGUAUC